Molecule: ribosomal RNA, 253 nt
Filed under: uncultured bacterium
Lineage: Bacteria
Description: partial 16S ribosomal RNA
Rfam family: Bacterial small subunit ribosomal RNA
Source: RNAcentral
UACGUAGGCAGCGAGCGUUGUUCGGAGUUACUGGGCGUAAAGGGUGUGUAGGCGGUUGUUUAAGUUUGGUGUGAAAUCUCCCGGCUCAACUGGGAGGGUGCGCCGAAUACUGAGGGACUAGAGUACGGGAGAGGAAAGUGGAAUUCCUGGUGUAGCGGUGAAAUGCGUAGAUAUCAGGAGGAACACCGGUGGUGUAGACGGCUUUCUGGACCGACACUGACGCUGAAACACGAAAGCGUGGGUAGCAAACAGG